This 644-nucleotide ribosomal RNA is filed under the name Agarivorans sp. RNAcentral's name for it is "bacterial SSU rRNA". It matches the Rfam family "Bacterial small subunit ribosomal RNA", at positions 360 to 996 of the family's 1533-position model. Lineage: Bacteria; Pseudomonadati; Pseudomonadota; Gammaproteobacteria; Alteromonadales; Alteromonadaceae. The record is from RNAcentral.
AAUAUUGCACAAUGGGCGAAAGCCUGAUGCAGCCAUGCCGCGUGUGUGAAGAAGGCCUUCGGGUUGUAAAGCACUUUCAGUCGUGAGGAAGGGGUAGUAAUUAAUACUUGCUAUCUUUGACGUUAGCGACAGAAGAAGGACCGGCUAACUCCGUGCCAGCAGCCGCGGUAAUACGGAGGGUCCGAGCGUUAAUCGGAAUUACUGGGCGUAAAGCGUACGCAGGCGGCUUGUUAAGCCAGAUGUGAAAUCCCCGGGCUCAACCUGGGAAUGGCAUUUGGAACUGGCAAGCUAGAGUUUUGUAGAGGGUGGUAGAAUUUCAGGUGUAGCGGUGAAAUGCGUAGAGAUCUGAAGGAAUACCAGUGGCGAAGGCGGCCACCUGGACAAAAACUGACGCUCAUGUACGAAAGCGUGGGGAGCAAACAGGAUUAGAUACCCUGGUAGUCCACGCCGUAAACGAUGUCUACUAGUUGUCUGUGAGUUUAACUCGUGGGUAACGCAGCUAACGCAUUAAGUAGACCGCCUGGGGAGUACGGCCGCAAGGUUAAAACUCAAAUGAAUUGACGGGGGCCCGCACAAGCGGUGGAGCAUGUGGUUUAAUUCGAUGCAACGCGAAGAACCUUACCUGCCCUUGACAUACUGAGAAC